Molecule: non-coding RNA, 19 nt
Filed under: Arabidopsis thaliana (thale cress)
Lineage: Eukaryota; Viridiplantae; Streptophyta; Magnoliopsida; Brassicales; Brassicaceae
Source: RNAcentral
AGGAUGUGGUUGGUGUACU